Molecule: ribosomal RNA, 778 nt
Filed under: uncultured Neocallimastigales
Lineage: Eukaryota; Fungi; Neocallimastigomycota; Neocallimastigomycetes; Neocallimastigales
Description: partial large subunit ribosomal RNA
Rfam family: Eukaryotic large subunit ribosomal RNA
Source: RNAcentral
UAUGUGAUCGUCUCUCGCAUAUCAAUAAGCGGAGGAAAAGAAAAUAACAAUGAUUUCCCUAGUAACGGCGAGUGAACAGGAAAGAGCUCAAAGUUGGAACCUGCUUGACUUAGUUAAGCCGGAUUGUAAACUGUAGAAACGUUUUCUAGGCAAGCCGAGUUAAAAAGUCCUUUGGAACAGGGCAUCAUAGAGGGUGAGAAUCCCGUCUUUGACUCGAGUAUUUUGUCUUUUUAUGAUACGUUUUCCAAGAGUCAGGUUGUUUGGGAAUGCAGUCCAAAAUGGGUGGUAAAUUUCAUCUAAAGCUAAAUAUUGGCGAGAGACCGACAGCGAACAAGUGCCGUGAGGGAAAGAUGAAAAGAACUUUGAAAAGAGAGUUAAACAGUACGUGAAAUUGUCAAAAGGGAAGCGUUUGACACCAGUGUUGUUUUUCUGAAAAUCAAUUAAAGAACUGUUUAUGCUAAGUUGUUUAGACUUUAUCAGCUAACUGCUUAGUUUUGAGCUUUUCUUUAAUGCACCUUUCAGUUAACAAGUCAACAUCAACUUUCUUUUGCUGUAAAAAAGCUUGAGGAAGGUGGCUUGAGAUUCGUCUUAAGUGUUUAUAGCCUCUUGCCUAUGCAGUCGGAGAGAUUGAGGUCUGCAGCGUAGAUCCUUCGGGGCUAAAUGCAUUUGUGCUAAGUUAUAGCAUUUUAUAGACAACUUGUUGACUAUGAUUUGUCUUGUAGCUUACUCGCUUAUGUUAUUUUACCUACGCUUAGGAUGUUGAAGAUAUGCGCGACAC